AGGGUUUGAUCAUGGCUCAGGAUGAACGCUGGCGGCGUGCCUAACACAUGCAAGUCGAACGGAGUUCUUAAGGAAUGCGACUUCGGUCAAAUGACUUUUGAACUUAGUGGCGGACGGGUGAGUAACGCGUGAGCAACCUGCCUUUCAGAGGGGGAUAACAUUUGGAAACAGAUGCUAAUACCGCAUAAGAUUACAGUACCGCAUGAUACAGUGAUCAAAGGAGCAAUCCGCUGAAAGAUGGGCUCGCGUCCGAUUAGAUAGUUGGUGAGAUAACAGCCCACCAAGGCGACGAUCAGUAGCCGACCUGAGAGGGUGACCGGCCACAUUGGGAAUGAGACACGGCCCAG
This 347-nucleotide ribosomal RNA is filed under the name uncultured bacterium. RNAcentral's name for it is "bacterial SSU rRNA". It matches the Rfam family "Bacterial small subunit ribosomal RNA", at positions 8 to 334 of the family's 1533-position model. The record is from RNAcentral.